UCGAGCGGUAACAUGGGAGCUUGCUCCUGAUGACGAGCGGCGGACGGGUGAGUAACGCGUAGGAAUCUACCCAGUAGAGGGGGAUAGCCCGAGGAAACUCGGAUUAAUACCGCAUACGCCCCACGGGGGAAAGCGGGGGUCUUCGGACCUCGCGCUAUUGGAUGAGCCUGCGUUGGAUUAGCUAGUUGGUAGGGUAAAGGCCUACCGAGGCGACGAUCCAUAACUGGUCUGAGAGGAUGAUCAGUCACACUGGAACUGAGACACGGUCCAGACUCC
This 276-nucleotide ribosomal RNA is filed under the name unidentified marine bacterioplankton. RNAcentral's name for it is "partial 16S ribosomal RNA". It matches the Rfam family "Bacterial small subunit ribosomal RNA", at positions 62 to 339 of the family's 1533-position model. RNAcentral also lists the same sequence under 1 other name. The record is from RNAcentral.